RNAcentral lists this ribosomal RNA (524 nucleotides) under uncultured bacterium. RNAcentral's name for it is "bacterial SSU rRNA". It matches the Rfam family "Bacterial small subunit ribosomal RNA", at positions 355 to 896 of the family's 1533-position model. The record is from RNAcentral.
UGGGGAAUAUUGGACAAUGGGCUCAAGCCUGAUCCAGCAAUGCCGCGUGGAUGAAGAAGGUCUUCGGAUUGUAAAGUCCUUUCGGCGGGGACGAUGAUGACGGUACCCGCAGAAGAAGCCCCGGCUAACUUCGUGCCAGCAGCCGCGGUAAUACGAAGGGGGCUAGCGUUGCUCNNAANGACUGGGCGUAAAGGGCGCGUAGGCGGAAUGUACAGUCAGACGUGAAAUUCCUGGGCUCAACCUGGGGACUGCGUUUGAGACGUGCGUUCUAGAGUUUGGAAGAGGGUUGUGGAAUUCCCAGUGCAGAGGUGAAAUUCGUAGAUAUUGGGAAGAACACCGGUGGCGAAGGCGGCAACCUGGUCCUUGACUGACGCUGAGGCGCGAAAGCGUGGGGAGCAAACAGGAUUAGAUACCCUGGUAGUCCACGCUGUAAACGAUGUGCGCUGGAUGUUGGGCAGCCUAGCUGCUCAGUGUCGUAGCUAACGCGGUAAGCGCACCGCCUGGGGAGUACGGCCGCAAGGUUG